This 356-nucleotide long non-coding RNA is filed under the name Carica papaya (papaya). RNAcentral's name for it is "long non-coding RNA (CPAP_LNC003441)". The record is from RNAcentral. Lineage: Eukaryota; Viridiplantae; Streptophyta; Magnoliopsida; Brassicales; Caricaceae.
UCAGUACGCGUUUCACACGAGAGGUCACGUAGGCAAUCAGUGUGUCAAUCGAUCCAAUGUCCGAAUUCAUUCUCGCGCAUACGAACAAUCCAGAUCCGUUUCUCCAUUAGGCGCGAUUGAACGACUCACGUGCUUUCAAUCAGACGAUCCUGAUUUACUUUCCAAAUAGUUGAGAUCCAAUAGUCUAGAUUGGUCCACGCGGGCCCGAACGGACGGCCUAGAUCGAACAUGGAGAGGUCUUUAAACCUCUUUACCUGGACUCCCUAAAAACCUUAGCCGCCAGAAAUCACUGGAGAAAAAGAAGAAGGGCGGGCGAAAAGUGAACCAGUCGUCAGAGAAGAAAACCGACCACCAUC